Long non-coding RNA from Arvicola amphibius (Eurasian water vole), 424 nucleotides. RefSeq lists it as uncharacterized. The record is from RefSeq and is a predicted model, not a curated record. Lineage: Eukaryota; Metazoa; Chordata; Mammalia; Rodentia; Cricetidae. The transcript is spliced from 3 exons.
GGCUGCAAGCACAGACCCUUCCGGCAGCCGCAGCUGCGAGCACGCUCGGGGCACGCCACCGGAAGCCGCGUUACCACCCCGGAGACGGAAGUCAGACCUUGGAGUCACGGCUCUCCCGCGCUCGGGGUGGGCUCGUGGUGAAGGUGAGAGGAGUGUGCGCAAAAAGCUGUGCGCGGUUGGCUGCGUUCUGAACCGGAACAGGAAGGCCUGCCGACGGGUCGCCUGCCCCGAGCUUCUAGGAUUUUCUCUGAAAGCCCAGCUUUGGAGGCCUCUCUGUAGAGCAAUGUACAUUAGGAAGCAGUCAAAUGGAGCAGGAAGAGACACCAUUUCCAAGGUUAUCUGAAGUGUGGGAAGCAAAGGAGAAAAGAAUGGGUUUCUAUUGCUGUGACUAAACACUGUGCCCAAAAAGCAGCUUGAGGAGAGG